UGCAAAACCCACAAUUUGUCUCCAGA
This 26-nucleotide non-coding RNA is filed under the name Mus musculus (house mouse). Lineage: Eukaryota; Metazoa; Chordata; Mammalia; Rodentia; Muridae. The record is from RNAcentral.